Molecule: transfer RNA, 72 nt
Filed under: Camelus bactrianus (Bactrian camel)
Lineage: Eukaryota; Metazoa; Chordata; Mammalia; Artiodactyla; Camelidae
Also listed under: 2 other names
Rfam family: tRNA
About the family: Transfer RNA (tRNA) molecules are approximately 80 nucleotides in length.
Source: Rfam by way of RNAcentral
GGGGCUACAGCUCAGUGGUAGAGCGGGUGCUUGGCGUGAACAUGGUCCUGGGUUCAAUCCCCAGUGCCUCUG